CAGGCGUAGUAGCAGGCACCUGUAAUCCCAGCUACUUGGGAGGCUGAGACAGGAGAAUUGCUUGAACCAGGGAGGUGGAGGUUGCAGUGAGCUGAGAUGGCACCAUUGCACUCCAGCCUGGGCAAUGGAGCGAGACUCCAUCUAAAAAAAAAAAGAAAAAAACCACUGGAAGAUUGCAGACCUCCAGGAAGGGCAUGGAGUGGGCGUCAAAUAUACAAGUCCAGAGUCCAGAGAGAUCCAGGCUGGAGUCAUCAACUCUGAGUCAUCAACACCUGCAAUUGCUUGAGGUGAGGAAACUGAGCACGGAGUGGCCACAAGGCUGAAGACAAAGAUCUAUACCCGGGUCAUCUAACUCCAGAGGGGGUGGGGGAGGCACAUGGUGUUUGUAAACCUCCCUUAUUUCUGAACACUUAUUUCUAUUUUCUAGUUGUUGUAAACAGUGCAUAGUGAACAGCCUUGCCCUCAGUUGCAGUUUGCCUGGCUAAUUACUUCCUUAGGGUGGAUUCCCAGGAAAAGAAUUACAGGGUCAAAGAGCGGGACUGUCUUUAAGACUCCAACCCUGUUGCCCAGCUCUGGCCUUGCUUUCCAGUCUCCCAUCUUCUUUCCCACACUGUCUUAAGUCAAUAGGAAGCGUACAGCCUUGGCCUCCCUCCACCCUGCCCACAUCUGCCUGUCUGUACCCCUGAGG
RNAcentral lists this long non-coding RNA (688 nucleotides) under Homo sapiens (human). RNAcentral describes it as "HSALNT0156175". Lineage: Eukaryota; Metazoa; Chordata; Mammalia; Primates; Hominidae. The record is from RNAcentral.